This 628-nucleotide long non-coding RNA is filed under the name Jatropha curcas. RNAcentral describes it as "long non-coding RNA (JCUR_LNC002665)". The record is from RNAcentral. Lineage: Eukaryota; Viridiplantae; Streptophyta; Magnoliopsida; Malpighiales; Euphorbiaceae.
UAGAAUUUAAAAUGUUAAAUAGGAUUUAAGCUCAUGGUCUUGAUGUUCAUCUUGUAGGAUGAACAAAUUCAUCAAUCAUUAAUCUCAAUCUUAUUUUAUUAUUUAUUUGAUCAUCCGAAUCAAAAACGAGUUUUAUGCUCUCUUUAAGCAAGGAUGCCUAAGGCUUAAUUUGAUUUUAUCUCAGAAUCAAAGCAUGAUUAUUGGUUUCAUAUUGUUUGGCCUCUGAAAUGAAGGUUCAUGCGCCACUGGGAAUGGCGAACACCAUAUGUAAUGGUGCACGGAUCUUGCCCUAAUCAGAGAACUCAAAAUAGAUGUUUUAGAGCCUUCUGGGAAGAAGUGACGCAGGGACCAUGCUUGUGGCGUGCGCCAUUACACUAUGGCUUGCGCCACAGCGUGUAGCUGGCGCCACUAACACCUAGAAUGCCUCCUUUAUGGUACUAGACUUGAAAACGAUGAUUUAACACCAAAAUGAAAAGGAAAAGAGGAGGAGAAAAGGUUUAAACUCUCAGCGUAUCUUGUUUUGAAGAAAACUUUGGGAUUUGAUCGCAAAUGGUAAGAGAUAUCCAACCUUGAUCUUUGAUCAAUGAUCUGAGAUUAGUUCGAUUGAUUUGUGUUUCGGGAAAUAUUG